RNAcentral lists this ribosomal RNA (407 nucleotides) under uncultured bacterium. Its description in RNAcentral is "partial 16S ribosomal RNA". It matches the Rfam family "Bacterial small subunit ribosomal RNA", at positions 28 to 526 of the family's 1533-position model. The record is from RNAcentral.
GACGAACGCUGGCGGCGUGCCUAAUACAUGCAAGUAGGACGCAGUUGCGAACGGGCGAGUAACGCGUAGGUCACUACCUCUUAUAGGGGUUUAACUAUUGGAAACGAUAGGUAAUACCUCAUACUCGUAGACCGACCUUCGUUGUAUUAGCUAAUAGGUAGGGUAAAGGCCUACCUAGGCAACGAUGCAUAGCCGACCUGGGAGGGUGAUCGGCCACACUGGGACUGAGACACGGCCCAGACUCCUACGGGAGGCAGCAGUAGGGAAUCUUCGGCAAUGGGGGGAACCCUGACCGAGCAACGCCGCGUGAGUGAAGAAGGUUUUCGGAUCGUAAAGCUCUGUUGUUAAGGAAGCGGUACUUAACCAGAAAGGGACGGCUAACUACGUGCCAGCAGCCGCGGUAAUAC